CUUGGUCAUUUAGAGGAAGUAAAAGUCGUAACAAGGUUUCCGUAGGUGAACCUGCGGAAGGAUCAUUACCUAGAGUUUGUGGACUUCGGUCUGCUACCUCUUACCCAUGUCUUUUGAGUACCUUCGUUUCCUCGGCGGGUCCGCCCGCCGGUUGGACAACAUUCAAACCCUUUGCAGUUGCAAUCAGCGUCUGAAAAAACUUAAUAGUUACAACUUUCAACAACGGAUCUCUUGGUUCUGGCAUCGAUGAAGAACGCAGCGAAAUGCGAUAAGUAGUGUGAAUUGCAGAAUUCAGUGAAUCAUCGAAUCUUUGAACGCACAUUGCGCCCUUUGGUAUUCCAAAGGGCAUGCCUGUUCGAGCGUCAUUUGUACCCUCAAGCUUUGCUUGGUGUUGGGCGUCUUGUCUCUAGCUUUGCUGGAGACUCGCCUUAAAGUAAUUGGCAGCCGGCCUACUGGUUUCGGAGCGCAGCACAAGUCGCACUCUCUAUCAGCAAAGGUCUAGCAUCCAUUAAGCCUUUUUUUCAACUUUUGACCUCGGAUCAGGUAGGGAUACCCGCUGAACUUAAGCAUAUCAAUAAGCGGAG
This 584-nucleotide ribosomal RNA is filed under the name uncultured fungus. RNAcentral's name for it is "eukaryotic LSU rRNA". The stretch from base 212 to 365 matches the Rfam family "5.8S ribosomal RNA". Lineage: Eukaryota; Fungi. The record is from RNAcentral.